Molecule: ribosomal RNA, 253 nt
Filed under: uncultured bacterium
Lineage: Bacteria
Description: partial 16S ribosomal RNA
Rfam family: Bacterial small subunit ribosomal RNA
Source: RNAcentral
UACGUAGGUGGCGAGCGUUAUCCGGAAUUAUUGGGCGUAAAGAGAACGCAGGCGGUCUUUUAAGUCUGAUGUGAAAGCCUUCGGCUUAACCGGAGUAGUGCACUGGAAACUGGGAGACUUGAGUGCAGAAGAGGAGUGUGGAACUCCAUGUGUAGCGGUGAAAUGCGUAGAUAUAUGGAAGAACACCAGUGGCGAAAGCGGCUCUCUGGUCUGUAACUGACGCUGAGGUUCGAAAGCGUGGGUAGCAAACAGG